This is a non-coding RNA of Cherax quadricarinatus, 279 nucleotides long. The record is from RefSeq and is a predicted model, not a curated record. NCBI's taxonomy places the organism in Eukaryota, Metazoa, Arthropoda, Malacostraca, Decapoda, Parastacidae.
AAUUUCUUCAGCUUAAAAUGGAAGAUUGCAGAGAAGAUGCCACGAGACAGCCAAGGAUAUCGGGAUGCUGCAACACUGCAACAACAAUUUUCCAGGAAUUGAAAACAUGCAUGUCCAAAGUGCGUGUUGAUGGAGUGAAGAGAAUUGAUUAUAAGCCGCAGCUUGCCGCUUUUACACUGACCAUUACAACCACCACUGGUUCUACCAUCAGUGUUGACUUAGUACCACAAAUUGCAGUUAAAAGUUGGGGUUCCAUAUCUGGUUCCUUACAUCAGCUGC